This 274-nucleotide ribosomal RNA is filed under the name uncultured bacterium. RNAcentral describes it as "partial 16S ribosomal RNA". It matches the Rfam family "Bacterial small subunit ribosomal RNA", at positions 523 to 796 of the family's 1533-position model. The record is from RNAcentral.
AUACGGGGGGAGCAAGCGUUGUCCGGAAUCACUGGGCGUAAAGGGCGUGUAGGCGGGUUGGUCAGUCAGAUGUGAAAGCCUGCGGCUUAACCGUAGAAAUGCAUUUGAAACUGCCGGCCUCGAGUGCGAGAGAGGGUAGUGGAAUUCCCAGUGUAGCGGUGAAAUGCGUAGAUAUUGGGAAGAACACCAGUAGCGAAGGCGGCUACCUGGCUCGCAACUGACGCUAAUGCGCGAAAGCGUGGGGAGCGAACAGGAUUAGAAACCCCAGUAGUCC